GGUCUCUCUCUCUCAGGUCUCUCUCUCUCUCUCUUUCUCUCUCUCUCUCUCCCGCAGGUCUCUCUCUCUCAGGUCUCUCUUUCAGGUCUCUGCUGUUUGGCUUCUCAAGGAAUCUCAGCUAUGCCAACUAUCUCUCCAGCCAUUGACAAAUAUCUCUCUUUGAGUACGUGCUGUGCCCCGCCAUCAUCAUCAUGAUCGUCACCAUGGCGAAGAAGGAACUUCCUCCAACAGAAGACGACGCGGCCUUAGAGACACAGAGACCGUUGCCGUGACGCCCAGAUGCUGUCCUGGUUCUAAGGUGGGGUACCUCAAACAACGCCCAGUCCACGAAGGCUCUCUCUCUCUCUCUCUCUCUCUCUCUCUCUCUCUCUCUCUCUCUCUCUCUCUCUCUCUCUCUCUCUCUCUCUCUCUCUCUCUCUCU
Molecule: long non-coding RNA, 421 nt
Organism: Gadus morhua (Atlantic cod)
Lineage: Eukaryota; Metazoa; Chordata; Actinopteri; Gadiformes; Gadidae
Exons: 3
Source: RefSeq, a predicted model, not a curated record